GGGACUGCAGGGAAUGGGCUGCGGCCCUGGAAACGUGUGGGGAUUGCGGGGAAUGGGCUGGGCUGCAGCCUCGAAGGAGAGCCCUGAGCCUUGGACACGGCUCUUGUCCUCCUGCAGGGAGCUUUAGGGAGGAUGGAGAGCGGUCUUUUACGUCUAGUGACAAAACCUAUGGGAAUGGCUUCGAGCUGAAAGACAGUAGCGUGAAAAAUGCGUAUUUUGUGAUUGGCUUUUCGCAAAUGUUCCGAUGAAUAUUGAUUUGUAACAAGCUCAAGCAAGAAGAUGAGAUAAUCAAGAAACUCUUCACACAGAGAUGUCAGUGAAGGGGGCCCAUAAAAAGUUACAGCCUCCUUAUCAGAAAAGAGAAACAUUCUUCCACCUUCUCUCCGUCUUUUUUGGAACCAGCAAGAUUAAGGAGAAGAAGUUGACAAAAACCAGAAAAGUUCUUAAUUUGCAAG
Lonchura striata (white-rumped munia) is the source of this 455-nucleotide non-coding RNA. NCBI's taxonomy places the organism in Eukaryota, Metazoa, Chordata, Aves, Passeriformes, Estrildidae. The record is from RefSeq and is a predicted model, not a curated record.